Molecule: ribosomal RNA, 537 nt
Filed under: uncultured bacterium
Lineage: Bacteria
Description: bacterial SSU rRNA
Rfam family: Bacterial small subunit ribosomal RNA
Source: RNAcentral
ACGGGAGAGUAACACGUGGGAACGUGCCCUUCAGUUCGGAACAACCCAGGGAAACUUGGGCUAAUACCGGAUACGCCCUUACGGGGAAAGAUUUAUCGCUGAAGGAUCGGCCCGCGUCUGAUUAGCUAGUUGGUGGGGUAAUGGCCCACCAAGGCGACGAUCAGUAGCUGGUCUGAGAGGAUGAUCAGCCUCACUGGGACUGAGACACGGCCCAGACUCCUACGGGAGGCAGCAGUGGGGAAUAUUGGACAAUGGGCGCAAGCCUGAUCCAGCCAUGCCGCGUGGGUGAUGAAGGCCCUAGGGUUGUAAAGCCCUUUCGGCGGGGAAGAUAAUGACGGUACCCGCAGAAGAAGCCCCGGCUAACUUCGUGCCAGCAGCCGCGGUAAUACGAAGGGGGCUAGCGUUGCUCGGAAUCACUGGGCGUAAAGCGCACGUAGGCGGCUUGUUAAGUCAGGGGUGAAAUCCUGGAGCUCAACUCCAGAACUGCCUUUGAUACUGGCAAGCUUGAGUUCGGGAGAGGUGAGUGGAACUGCGAGU